CACUUGAAGUCAAUUUCAUGGACGUCCUGUAUGCAAAAUAUCCGAUUUCGGAGAAGCUAAAAUGCAUGCAUUUGCUGGUCAAUCAUUCCAAAUGGCACCU
Long non-coding RNA from Haliotis rubra (blacklip abalone), 100 nucleotides. RefSeq lists it as uncharacterized. Lineage: Eukaryota; Metazoa; Mollusca; Gastropoda; Lepetellida; Haliotidae. The transcript is spliced from 3 exons. The record is from RefSeq and is a predicted model, not a curated record.